Molecule: ribosomal RNA, 253 nt
Filed under: uncultured bacterium
Lineage: Bacteria
Description: partial 16S ribosomal RNA
Rfam family: Bacterial small subunit ribosomal RNA
Source: RNAcentral
UGCGUAGGGCGCGAGCGUUGUCCGGAAUCAUUGGGCGUAAAGAGCUCGUAGGCGGCCUGUCGCGUCUGCUGUGAAAUCCCGGGGCUCAACCCCGGGCGUGCAGUGGAUACGGGCUGGCUGGAGGCAGGCAGGGGAGAACGGAAUUCCCGGUGUAGCGGUGAAAUGCGCAGAUAUCGGGAGGAACACCGGUGGCGAAGGCGGUUCUCUGGGCCUGUACUGACGCUGAGGAGCGAAAGCGUGGGGAGCGAACAGG